ACGGGAGGCAGCAGUGAGGAAUAUUGGUCAAUGGACGCAGGUCUGAACCAGCCAAGUCGCGUGAGGGAUGGCGGUCCUAUGGAUUGUAAACCUCUUUUGUCGGGGAGUAACGUGCGGUACGUGUACCGUAUUGAGAGUACCCGAAGAAAAAGCAUCGGCUAACUCCGUGCCAGCAGCCGCGGUAAUACGGAGGAUGCGAGCGUUAUCCGGAUUUAUUGGGUUUAAAGGGUGCGCAGGCGGCGCGUCAAGUCAGCGGUAAAAUGUCGGUGCUCAACGCCGGCCGGCCGUUGAAACUGUCGUGCUCGAGUUCGUGCGAGGAGAGCGGAAUGCGUGGUGUAGCGGUGAAAUGCAUAGAUAUUACUCAGAACACCGAUUGCGAAGGCAUCUCACGAAUCCGUCAUUGACGCUGAGGCACGAAAGCGUGGGGAUCAAACAGGAUUAGAUACCCUGGUA
RNAcentral lists this ribosomal RNA (453 nucleotides) under uncultured Barnesiella sp. RNAcentral describes it as "bacterial SSU rRNA". It matches the Rfam family "Bacterial small subunit ribosomal RNA", at positions 341 to 792 of the family's 1533-position model. The record is from RNAcentral. Lineage: Bacteria; Pseudomonadati; Bacteroidota; Bacteroidia; Bacteroidales; Barnesiellaceae.